Molecule: ribosomal RNA, 418 nt
Filed under: uncultured bacterium
Lineage: Bacteria
Description: bacterial SSU rRNA
Rfam family: Bacterial small subunit ribosomal RNA
Source: RNAcentral
AUAUUGCGCAAUGGGCGCGAGCCUGAACCAGCCAAGUCGCGUGAGGGAGGACGGCCCUACGGGUUGUAAACCUCUUUUGCCGGGGAGCAACGGGCGCCACGUGUGGCGCCACUGAGAGUACCCGGAGACAAAGCAUCGGCUAACUCCGUGCCAGCAGCCGCGGUAAUACGGAGGAUGCGAGCGUUAUCCGGAUUUAUUGGGUUUAAAGGGUGCGUAGGCGGAUCGUUAAGUCAGUGGUCAAAUUGAGGGGCUCAACCCCUUCCCGCCAUUGAAACUGGCGAUCUUGAGUGGAAGAGAAGUAUGCGGAAUGCGUGGUGUAGCGGUGAAAUGCAUAGAUAUCACGCAGAACCCCGAUUGCGAAGGCAGCAUGCCGGCUUCCUACUGACGCUGAAGCACGAAAGCGUGGGGAUCGAACAGG